CAAUAGCGUAUAUUAAAGUUGUUGCGGUUAAAAAGCUCGUAGUUGGAGUUCUGCCAGGUGACACUCGUCCGCCCAAGUGGUGUGUACAGGGUGUGCAUCUGGCCCUUUCAAGGGGAACGUGUCUGCACUUCAUUGUGUGGUGCGAGAUCCUUGACUUUUACUUUGAGGAAAUAAGAGUGUUCCAAGCAGGCUCUCGUCGUGCAUAGCUCAGCAUGGAAUAAUAGCAUUGGACUUCGUUUCUACGCUGUUGGUUGCAAGAAGCGAGGUAAUGAUGAAGAGGGAUAGUUGGGGGCAUUCGUAUUUAACUGUCAGAGGUGAAAUUCUUGGAUUUGUUAAGGACGGACUACUGCGAAAGCAUCUGCCAUGGAUGUUUUCAUUGA
This 380-nucleotide ribosomal RNA is filed under the name uncultured eukaryote. Its description in RNAcentral is "partial 18S ribosomal RNA". It matches the Rfam family "Eukaryotic small subunit ribosomal RNA", at positions 592 to 976 of the family's 1831-position model. The record is from RNAcentral.